UUGAGACUCCAGUUUCCAUGUGUUCACUAAAGCUAAGCAACAUCCAGCCUGGUUAGUACCUAGAUGGGUAACCUUUUGGGAAUACCAAGUGCUGUAAU
Non-coding RNA from Acanthosepion pharaonis, 98 nucleotides. Lineage: Eukaryota; Metazoa; Mollusca; Cephalopoda; Sepiida; Sepiidae. The record is from the annotation of a GenBank genome assembly.